AGAGUUUGAUCCUGGCUCAGGAUAAACGCUGGCGGCGUGCCUAACACAUGCAAGUCGAACGCCCUUCUUUCGGGAAGGGAGUGGCGGACGGGUGAGGAACACGUGGGUCAUCUACCUUCUGGUGAGGAAUACCGGCGAGAAAUCGCCGACAAUACCGCAUACGCUCUCUUGCGAAAGAGAGCAAAGCUCGUAAGGGCGCC
Molecule: ribosomal RNA, 200 nt
Filed under: uncultured bacterium
Lineage: Bacteria
Description: partial 16S ribosomal RNA
Rfam family: Bacterial small subunit ribosomal RNA
Source: RNAcentral